This 322-nucleotide ribosomal RNA is filed under the name uncultured eukaryote. RNAcentral describes it as "partial 18S ribosomal RNA". It matches the Rfam family "Eukaryotic small subunit ribosomal RNA", at positions 1470 to 1796 of the family's 1831-position model. The record is from RNAcentral.
CCCUUAGAUGUUCUGGGCCGCACGCGUGCUACACUGACAUGUUCAACAAGUUUCUCCUAGUUCGACAGGACUGGGAAAUCUUUGAACGCAUGUCGUGAUAGGGAUAGAUCAUUGCAAUUAUUGAUCUUGAACGAGGAAUUCCUAGUAAACGCGAGUCAUCAGCUCGCAUUGAUUACGUCCCUGCCCUUUGUACACACCGCCCGUCGCACCUACCGAUUGAAUGUUUCGGUGAAGAUUCCGGAUAGGACUGAUUUGAUUUAUUUCAUUUCUGACCUAAAAGCUAUCUAAACCUCAACAUUUAGAGGAAGGUGAAGUCGUAACA